This 581-nucleotide ribosomal RNA is filed under the name uncultured bacterium. RNAcentral describes it as "bacterial SSU rRNA". It matches the Rfam family "Bacterial small subunit ribosomal RNA", at positions 102 to 679 of the family's 1533-position model. The record is from RNAcentral.
ACGGGUGAGUAAUGCCUAGGAAUCUGCCUGGUAGUGGGGGGCAACGUUUCGAAAGGAACGCUAAUACCGCAUACGUCCUACGGGAGAAAGCAGGGGACCUUCGGGCCUUGCGCUAUCAGAUGAGCCUAGGUCGGAUUAGCUAGUUGGUGAGGUAAUGGCUCACCAAGGCGACGAUCCGUAACUGGUCUGAGAGGAUGAUCAGUCACACUGGAACUGAGACACGGUCCAGACUCCUACGGGAGGCAGCAGUGGGGAAUAUUGGACAAUGGGCGAAAGCCUGAUCCAGCCAUGCCGCGUGUGUGAAGAAGGUCUUCGGAUUGUAAAGCACUUUAAGUUGGGAGGAAGGGUUGAAGAUUAAUACUCUGCAAUUUUGACGUUACCGACAGAAUAAGCACCGGCUAACUCUGUGCCAGCAGCCGCGGUAAUACAGAGGGUGCAAGCGUUAAUCGGAAUUACUGGGCGUAAAGCGCGCGUAGGUGGUUUGUUAAGUUGGAUGUGAAAUCCCCGGGCUCAACCUGGGAACUGCAUCCAAAACUGGCAAGCUAGAGUAUGGUAGAGGGUGGUGGAAUUUCCUGUGUAGC